RNAcentral lists this ribosomal RNA (609 nucleotides) under uncultured bacterium. Its description in RNAcentral is "bacterial SSU rRNA". The stretch from base 1 to 520 matches the Rfam family "Bacterial small subunit ribosomal RNA", at positions 338 to 873 of the family's 1533-position model. The record is from RNAcentral.
CCUACGGGAGGCAGCAGUGGGGAAUUUUCCGCAAUGGGCGAAAGCCUGACGGAGCAAUACCGCGUGAGAGAGGAAGGCUCUUGGGUUGUAAACCUCUUUUUUCAGGGAAGAUAAUGACGGUACCUGAGGAAUAAGCAUCGGCUAACUCCGUGCCAGCAGCCGCGGUAAUACGGAGGAUGCAAGCGUUAUCCGGAAUGAUUGGGCGUAAAGCGUCCGCAGGUGGUUUUAAAAGUCUGUUGUUAAAGCGUGAGGCUUAACCUCAUAAGGGCAAUGGAAACUGUAAGACUAGAGUACGUUCGGGGCAAGGGGAAUUCCCAGUGUAGCGGUGAAAUGCGUAGAGAUUGGGAAGAACACCGGUGGCGAAAGCGCCUUGCUAGGCCGUAACUGACACUGAGGGACGAAAGCUAGGGGAGCGAAUGGGAUUAGAUACCCCAGUAGUCCUAGCCGUAAACGAUGGAUACUAGGCGUUGUNUGUAUCGACCGGACGAGUGCGUACGCUACGUACGUUAAGUACUCCGCCGUCGGGUAGGUACGCGACGCGAGUGUAGAACUACAAGGAAGUAGACGGCGUGAGACGUGCCGAACGGACGACCGACGAGGGGAGUUAGG